This 1068-nucleotide ribosomal RNA is filed under the name uncultured bacterium. RNAcentral's name for it is "bacterial SSU rRNA". It matches the Rfam family "Bacterial small subunit ribosomal RNA", at positions 8 to 1100 of the family's 1533-position model. The record is from RNAcentral.
AGAGUUUGAUCAUGGCUCAGGACGAACGCUGGCGGCGUGCUUAACACAUGCAAGUCGAGCGAUGAAGUUCUUUCGGGAACGGAUUAGCGGCGAACGGGUGAGGAACACGUGAGGAAUCUGCCUUCUACUCUGGGAUAACUCCGGGAAACCGGGGCUAAUACUGGAUAUGAAGCCUGAUGGCAUCAUCGGGUUUGGAAAGUUUUUCGGUAGAAGAUGACCUCGCGGCCUAUCAGCUUGUUGGUGAGGUAAUGGCUCACCAAGGCGACGACGGGUAGCCGGCCUGAGAGGGCGACCGGCCACACUGGGACUGAGACACGGCCCAGACUCCUACGGGAGGCAGCAGUGGGGAAUAUUGGGCAAUGGAGGAAACUCUGACCCAGCGACGCCGCGUGCGGGAUGAAGGCCUUCGGGUUGUAAACCGCUUUCAGCAGGGAAGAAGCGAAAGUGACGGUACCUGCAGAAGAAGCACCGGCUAACUAUGUGCCAGCAGCCGCGGUAAUACAUAGGGUGCAAGCGUUGUCCGGAAUUAUUGGGCGUAAAGAGCUCGUAGGUGGUUCGUUACGUCGGAUGUGAAAAUCUGGGGCUCAACCCCAGACCUGCAUUCGAUACGGGCGAACUAGAGUGUGGUAGGGGAGACUGGAAUUCCUGGUGUAGCGGUGGAAUGCGCAGAUAUCAGGAGGAACACCAAUGGCGAAGGCAGGUCUCUGGGCCAUUACUGACACUGAGGAGCGAAAGCGUGGGGAGCGAACAGGAUUAGAUACCCUGGUAGUCCACGCCGUAAACGGUGGGCACUAGUUGUGGGAACCUUCCACGGUUUCUGCGACGCAGCUAACGCAUUAAGUGCCCCGCCUGGGGAGUACGAUCGCAAGAUUAAAACUCAAAGGAAUUGACGGGGCCCCGCACAAGCAGCGAGCAUGCGGCUUAAUUCGACGCAACGCGAAGACCUUACCAAGGCUUGACAUAUACCGAAUAUGGCAGAAAUGUCAUAGCUGUAAAGGUCGGUAUACAGGUGUGCAUGCUGUCGUCAGCUCCGUGUCGUGAGAUGUGGGUUAGUCCCGCACGAGCGCC